UAACUUUUCCACUCUCAUUACAAAUGCUCAGAUGGCUCACCUCGCAACUCCUAGCUCCAGCUGACUCCCUCUGUAUCCUCCUGCUGAUCCUGUCCCUGGCAGGCCUGGGCAGCUCUACUCCCAUUGACAGUCCCAGUCCCCAUCUGCUUUGUAAUGUCUGCCCUCUACAGCACAAAGAAAGAUCGUGCAGUAGUCACUUCACCACAGAGUGUCACCUGAAUGAACGCUGCGGUACUAGCACAGGGCAUUUUGGUUCCAUCCACAUCCUGUCUGCACAAGGCUGCCUGACUUAUGACCUCUGUAACUCCACCCACCCUGUGCUCUACCGUGGGGUCAGUUACAAUGUGACAUACAGGUGUUGCUGUAGGAACAGAUGUAACCAUCCACUGGCCCCAGAGAUGCAUACAGAGAGGCUGUCAGGAGGGAUGACGGAGCCCAGUGAGGUGCCUCCUAUGACGAACGACCCUCUGGACAGAUGUCCUGGAGAUUGACAUCUCCACGACCACGCUGUCACAUUCCCAUGUAUAACCGUAUCCUCUGAGACCUCCAGGAGUGGCUAGAGACUACUACUGAGAUCUGUCACUGGGGACAGGUCUAUUGGCAACUGACUUUCCACAGUCUCACACAAGGGAUGAUGCCCAUUUUAAUUGUUUAGGUUAAAUUGUGAAAUUGCCUAUUUAUUCACAUUUUCAAAAUGGUUUGCUGUUACUUAGUCAUGGUUCCCAGUGCUGGAAAAUGUAGCCAAUAAAAUUAUUUUGUUUGCAUUCCUGUCCUUUUAUUAGUGUGCCCUUUCUGGAGUCUGAAGACAUGAACAGUGCCACUGUUAGACAUGGGUUCCUUGUCAUUUAUCUCUGCUGGAUCACAUUUUUCAAAUUUGAUUUGUAGUAUUGAUCAUAAUUGAGGCAUGGUGGAAUAAAUCAUUUGAUCU
Molecule: long non-coding RNA, 928 nt
Organism: Esox lucius (northern pike)
Lineage: Eukaryota; Metazoa; Chordata; Actinopteri; Esociformes; Esocidae
Source: Ensembl